This 114-nucleotide small RNA is filed under the name Aquamicrobium sp. LC103. Its description in RNAcentral is "Mesorhizobium sp. LC103 rpsB sRNA". It matches the Rfam family "rpsB sRNA". Lineage: Bacteria; Pseudomonadati; Pseudomonadota; Alphaproteobacteria; Hyphomicrobiales; Phyllobacteriaceae. The record is from Rfam by way of RNAcentral.
CACACACGGGCUUUGGUGUCUGUCCGGGAGAAAUCCGGCUGGGACCUCCGGUGGCAAAGGGCAUUUUGCCUCUUUGUCGAUGGCUCGUGGAGGCUUGAACCGGAAAGGAAAAUA